UCUCUCUCUCUCUCUCUCUCUCUCAUUCCCGUUCUCUGGUUUCUCACUCGCGCUCUUGCAACGCCGAGAGAGCGAGGAGCACUCUCGUCUGCGACUCGAGGCCGUCGCGACGCGCAACGACGACCCGCGCCAAUCCGCUUCGCGUCGCGUCGCCUCUGUGCACGGUGCAUGCUGCACGUGCAUCCCGCUGCGGGACAAAUUGCCGAUCCGUGCACGAUCCCCAACGGAUCGACCGAUCGCGAACGAUCCCCGGAAAAGAGCCGGCAACUCGAUUCCAGCCAGAUUUUUCGUGGCAAACGGUUUCGCUGAUUAAACCGUUCAUAAAGGAAGACGCGCGCGUUGACUAAGUUUUCGUGAUUGAUUCGGAAACGUAGGGAUUCGACAGCGCCGAAAGGUCGCAACGUAGAUUCUGUUUCCAAUUAGAAAUUAUAAAGUUAUUUCGCAACAGGCGGGAUUCAACGUUUCAAUGGGGCAACCGGUUCCCUGUGCGAGAGGUAAAACAACAGGUUCGCAAUUAUUUUCAGUAUUCUUUGUCACGUUUAACCGGCGCGCGCCCCGUUCGGGUCGCCUGCAGCUUUUUCUCUCGAUUAUAUUGUUCGCAAUAAAGAUUUGUUCGCAUUACCGAUAAGAUUUAUGCGAUACCGCUUCUUGCUUCGUCGAGUGUUUGAAAAAAAAGAAGCCGCGUAUCGAUAUAAUCACGUGUUGCGACGCCCGAUUAUUCUGUCACUGCAUGAAUUAACAUCGAUCCCGCGGAACGGGUGCAUGAAUUUACACUUUUUCUUGUUUUGAUUGUAAUAUUUCACGGAAUUAAAAUGUCCUGCUCGAUCGUCUCCUCACGACGGAGACGCCGCCGAUAUCGAGAAUUUUCGAAUAAAAGAUUAUGCGAAAACCCGGUUUCUUCCCCCCCCCCCCCCGCGCGAUGUUGAUCGAAAGUUUCUAUAUUCUGCGAAAAAAUAAUAUGCUACCUCCGAGGUAAGAGUCCUCGAAAAUUGUGCCUCGGCAGCGGAUAAUUUCUCGAUCGAAACGGCGCGGCGCGCGGACUUUCCUCUGAAACCGCAAUAAAAAGAGAAACAGCUUUCACAGAAGCCUAAUACGGGACCGCGCAAGCAAAAAACGUGAGAAGUUCUGUCACGAGAAUCUCCUUUUCGGCGCAAAUUAAGUUUGAGGGUCGCUCGAGCCAGUGCUCGACCAUACCCCGACCAACUUCUCGACCCUCUGUGAUUCAUUAUUUCGUCCUCGCGAUAUGCUCGUGUUGAUAAACAUUUCCACGUUGACAAUUUGCAUUCCAGCAGGGUUUCGGUGUCUUAUUUCAUUCUCGCUGAUAUCGCAGCACCCUCGACCGCCGCCGGGAUCAUUAACGACGGCCAGAGGAAUAAAGAUCCGAUUUAUCAAACGUGGUCCAGUUUUAUGGCCUCCGUUAGGCUCGACCGAGCCGGCCGAGCAAUUAAACCCUUGAUAUUUCGCAAUUUCAUCGAUCGAACGUGACAGGAUUACGAUCAUCUGAUCCAGGAUCCGGCCAGACGAUCGCUUAAAUAUUUUCAUGGAUCCGCUUGAUACCUGCUAGGUAUUAUCCUAUCACGCGUUGAUCGAUUCUGGAUCUCGAGCAUAAAUCGUGUGCGGUCCGUUUAAUUCCGCGCCGCGAAAAUAAAACAGGAUAAUAGCGAUUAUCGGUAAUCGUCCGAACUUUACUUGCUCUUUUGUUGUUCGUUCUUUUCAUUGAUCACCGAUUUCCCUUAACAAACCCGAUCAUUUCGAUAACCUGCAUUCAAUACACGCGCAGGUCUUAUUUCUCCCGUUUUCCGCUUCGCGGUUCAUACACGGUUGAACCCUUUUUUCAUCGUAGAUCUCAACGUUAAAGCAAACACCGCGCAAAGAAGAAAAACUUUGGCCGUUCGCGACGGUGAGAUAAUUGCCAGAGGCGCGCCUGAUACGUGUAGCAUGACUCGUUUCACAAUUCACCGGCGUCUUUUCACGUGGAAACGAGAUUCAGGAAUCGUGACGCGGCGUUGACACGUAAACGCGAGCACGCGAAAUGCUCUCGAAGAAUCGCGCAAGAUUACCGGUGACACGGAGCGUACGCGUCACACGGUUAAUCCGGGCUUAAUCGGCUAAUUACGACGGGCGCCAUUGAUUGCUUAUCCGCGCGAGAGGAAGUGUCCUCCCGGGUCGGCCAGACAACUUCUAUAUAUAUAAUAAUAUUUCGCGGUGCACUGACUCAUCUAGCAUAGGCGUAUCGCCGCGUGCGGUGUUGGUAACGGCAGAAUACAUCACACAAAAUGUGAGAUGCUCGUUAGUCUCGUUCCAGGUAGCUCGUUAUCGCCGGUAGCACUGUGUCAAGUGUCACAUAAGUUAGCCCCAACACGUGACACCCGUGUAACGCCUAGUAAAGGAAGAAUUAUGAAAGAAGCGCGUCAUUCAGCCGUGGAAGAGCGAUCCGGAUCGCGGCGCGAGAAGAUCGCUACGCGUCAUUGGACGCCGGAGGACCAUCAACCAUCCCUCCAAAAAAAUAUCAAACAGCCCGGAUUCCUCUGUUCGACACGUUCCUCGCCACGUUGAUCUCGCCGAUCUUCGACAAUUAAUUUCUCAAAGAGUCGACGGAGCCGAUGAAUAUUACCGGAGAGGGUCAACGAGGGACGUUCUCUUUUGUUGAAAAAACGCCGGCUUGAUCGCGCAGCAAAUUACGCGACUGACUUUUGAUUCUGCCGAUCAUGAUGUUGCAUCGCGCAACCUCGCAGCAUCGAUUCGCGAACGAGCUUCUCGGUCGUUCGUAUUGAAUUUCAUAUCGCGGCCGAGUUAUUAAACGUCCGGCACGUUUGACGCAUCCCUCUUCCCCCGGUUUCGAUAUUUUUCGAAACAACGGGCCAAACACACCGCCGCCGAUGAGAGAAGAAGGAAACGCAGACAUUUUGUUGUUGGGUCGCCCAACGCGUUGCAACGAGCCGGGGCUUCAUUAAUCCGUUGCUCAGCCGUCUAUCGGAAAUUCAACACCAGCCUCCGGCGAACAAGAGACGCGUGUUUUGCUAAACAAGUGAAACCUCUUUGUUCCCGUUCCGCGAACGAGAGUCGACGAAAUUCCCCUUUUUAAAACUGUCAAUAACGGACUGCCGGACCUUUUGUCUUUCGACGUUCAUCGAUCGGAGUUCGCGCGGCUCACAACAGAAACUCGGAAUCGAGGGCGAGACCGGGCCCCCCUUUCGACUUCGGCUAAUUCUCUCCUUCGGCGGACCUACUCGCUGUUUUAGCCCCUGCGACUUUAUUCUAUUUUGCGCCGUUCCGCUCGCCCGGAGAGAAAGCAACUUCGUCGCCGAUGCGCUUUUACUCGACCCGAGUUUUACGCUCGACAAUGCUCAAACUGAUUUAUAAGCCCGCGAAUGGCCGUGCCGCGUCGAAGAGAAGUUUCCGAUCGAAGUUGCCGUUUGUUGCUGUUCAACGAAUUUAGAAAACUGUGCGCCCUCUCCACCCCCGUUCCCGGUAUACACGGAAGAAUCGGCGAGCAAUUUUCUCGCACGAAGUUCCGCGAAAAGCGCAGUUUUUCCGCGUCCGCGACGCAUCGGCCGUCCGCCAUCUUGGAUGCGCAAGGAUGUUUUCGAGUCCCAAGCGGAACGCAUCCGAGAAAUAUUCUAUUUAAGAGGAUGAUCGUUUGCGAAAGAUCGAUGCGGCGGUUUUAAUUGAACGGCGCGGCGAUCAUGAUCGAUUCAUGAAUCGUUUAGGACACGCAGGGUGAAUGCGGUGGAUCGAGUAACAGCAUGGGUGCCGCGGCUGCACGCGCUCCCGCGCGCCGAACGAGAUACGCAAUCGGCUCGCGGAUAGACUGCUAAAUGUUUACCGCGCUUUUAAGACGCACCUUGUAAGCAAAUAUGCACCGAAGGCCGCACCAACGGAGACGCGUUGAGUCUAUUUUUAAUUCGCGUGCGCGCUGCCAUUGUGCGUGCGCGCGAAACGUGAUAAUAACAUUAAAGAGGAGUAAUGGCGGCUUCGAUCCAUUACCCCCCUCGAACUUUCGACGAAUGGAACGACCUAUAAGAACUUUCUUCCGCGAACUUUCUCUCCUCGUCCUCCCCCGAUCCGUUCGGCUUCUCCUUCUUUCUCAUUGUUCCCGGCCCCCCUGCUGUUUGAACGUUCUACUGUACAAACAGCGUCCUCCUUCUUUCUUCUCGCGAGAGCAACGAUUCUUACGCUGGUAAUUCCAGGAAAUUGUUCAACACCUAAUGAACCCUUUUUUUCGAAUAAUUUAAACAGUCCGCUGCAGAUCGCGACGGCUGGAGUCCCGAGCGAAGAGAACCAAGUCUGAAGCGUCGUGCAAUUACUCUCGGCUUCUGAUUAACGGGAAUCCGUUAGGCAUGCCACCGGGGACCGCUAAGGAGACUAUAAUAAACGAAGCUGCGAACGGUCCGUGCAGAUCAAGCAUUCGCGGGAAAGGUCAACGGAAGGGGUUAAUUCGACCGUGCAGAGCGAGCAUGUUCAUCGUCGACUAUUUUUCAGGGACGAUCGAAUACGCUUCUGCAAUUUCUAUGGAAACACGCGUUUAAUCGGUGGCACCGGGAUGGCAGGUGCACCGGUUAUUGUUGAUAGCCCGGUGAAAACGGGAACGGUCCGAGCGCCGCGCCGCAAACAACUGAUUUAGACGGCGUACGUGAGCAUUGUGCGCGAUGAAAACGUGCCGGCUCGGAAUUUGCAUGAUAAAACGUCCUGAAGCGGGAUUGAAGUGCACGGUCCAACGAGCAUAAGUCACCGUGACAAGGAAGACCGGUGUCGGACCUCGAGAGGGACGUGUCUUCCUGUAAAGUUGCUCUGCUCCUCGACAAGAUCGUACCGUGAAAAGAUCUCCGGACCCGUUGACCCUAACUGUUCGAUCCAUCGGAUCUCCGUCAGGAUGAAUUGUGCACAGUUAGCGCCGGCUUAAGGCUUCCUGUUCUGCACCGCAGAACGGAAACAUCGUUACGGAAAGUUAAUGAACAGACUGUUAUGCGUUCGCGAGAUAAGCAAAGAACCCGCCGUGAUAAAAAUCCUCGCGAGGUCUGAUUAGUUUCCUACUAUCUUCGAGAUCGUAUAACCGUUCCCAAUUAAAUUAUAUAAUUUCUCGUUCGCGUUUGGAUGAUCGAAGACCAUGAAAGGUUUCACGAUCUUCCGUUUCCGCGCGCGUCGCGGAAUCCGUUCGCGGGGAUUUAUCGGCUGAAUCUGCGGCACGGUUGAAUUGGAUGGCCUGCGAUGGAACCAGUUCAGGACGUCUAAGAACGUCUAAUGACGACUCUUGAAUGGACAUUGAUGUCGAGGCACCUACGGCCGCGCAGAUAUCUCAGCGAUUCCAUGGCGCAGGAUGCUUCUUGCAAGAUUUUCUUUCGUUUACCGCGACGUCGAGCUGCUAGCGAAGAAACGCCGAGUGUUUCGAAUGCUGGACAGGUCUCUUGAAUCCAGAGCUCGGAAAGCCUUGAGAUCAUUGGAACUCCUGUGCGCGAAGAAAGUCACGAAAGCGUCCGUAGCCUUGGAGAUCUUGGAAAUCCUGCGAGUCCCGCGAUCUCGAUCACCGAGGCCUCGGGGAUCCAGAAAUUCUAGAAAUUCGCGGGAUGCGAGACAUCGCGGCUAAUUGGAAAAGUGUACGCGGCGACGUCGAUUUCUCGGACAAAGCUAAUUAUAAAGCGACGAUUGCGUGGAACAGAACUUCGAAAAGCGGCGUGACGAAGGCUCGUCGCCACGGUAAAGCCGUGUCUAACGCCACGUAAUCGAACACUGCGAAGCACCGAUUGCACACCUGAGCGCGAGCGAACCUAUCGCCGUCGCGAGCCUGCCGGUUUUCUAGGAAAUGUCAAAUUGUUACGGCGAACGCGACGACCACCGUGGCGAGAGAGCCUUUGAGUCACCGCGAGUCGCAAGAACGAGAAUGAAAAGCGAAAUAAAUAGAAUACUGACGAAAAUCGGCUGAUGAAAUCGGCAAUAAUCUUCGCUUCGCGCGUAGGUGCGACGCGAGGCUGCUGCUCGUUAAGCUACGAUCGUAAACAGGCCCAUUACAAUCCGCCAAUUAAAAGACUGCGACAGAGAAGACCGUGGUAGGUACAUAUGUAUGUAUAUCCAAGCAUUAAGAAUCUAUGAUUGCGAUGGAUAUUUUAUGAUACGGCUUCCUCGAAAACCACUUCUGCAUAAAUGGAAUGAUACUGAAACUAAA
This is a non-coding RNA of Megalopta genalis, 6160 nucleotides long. The record is from RefSeq and is a predicted model, not a curated record. NCBI's taxonomy places the organism in Eukaryota, Metazoa, Arthropoda, Insecta, Hymenoptera, Halictidae.